This is a long non-coding RNA of Scophthalmus maximus (turbot), 1156 nucleotides long. RefSeq lists it as uncharacterized. The record is from RefSeq and is a predicted model, not a curated record. The transcript has 2 exons. NCBI's taxonomy places the organism in Eukaryota, Metazoa, Chordata, Actinopteri, Pleuronectiformes, Scophthalmidae.
CGGACGGUCGGUGUGCGCUUGGACUGGAGCAGAGGAGAAGUGCGACACCAACAUGCUCGGUCUGGACGGAGCCCAGGGAAGGGUUAAAAGAGCGCUGUGUUUCAAUUAAACCGCACCAGCACCAGCCCGGAGGCCGACCACGGGUGCAAGAGAACACGGAAGGCGAGUCUGGAGACGAGACCCGCAUGCGAGGUGGUGGUGGAGAGAACUUUGACGCCCACAGUUGACUAAUCACUCCCAGACUCUUGCCCCUCUCACACACAUUGGCAUAGACUGGCAGACUCGCUCCCUCAGAAGAAAAAAAAAAGUCUUGCAGCUAAUAUGACUGGAGGGGGUCUAAGAAAACUGUCAGAAUUUUGGUUUUACAGUCAGAUGUCAAAGAUCAAAGUCAGACAACUGACUUUUAAGCUGCAGUCCGUAGGAUUGAGAGACGUGUAGACUUCAAAAUCCAAUGACUCCUGCUUCCUCCCCCUCCCUCUCCACUGCACCUCGGUUCUGCCUCCAGAGCUCAUCCCAGCCCGCAGUGCCUGCGCUGGCUACCAUGGCAACUGAAGUCCAGCAAGAGCUUUGAGACUGGUACACUGGACUCCGAUGAGGAAGUAAACACGGCUGCUAUGACGAGUAGAAGAGCGAGGAGAAGAGGGAGUCACCUACGACCACCACCGGGCAGCGGCCGUGGGAGACGGGACAGAGGUCGGCAUGUUGGCCCGACACCUGAGGACCUGGGAGCUGAAGACAUAGCUGAUCUUAAUGUUACGAGCCAGUUGGUACCUGCUUCUUUCACUGGUUUCCUUCAAAGAUAGUGUAGCUUCAGUUGCCUUUGCUAGAUGUAAAUAAUAUGCUGUACGAUACUUUUUUUUUCAUUUAAUUUAUUUAUUUCAAUGUUAUAUUUUAAUAUUUAUGCAACCUCAGUAUUUGCCUUGCAAUAUAGGGGAAUUUUUGAAAGUGGUUGGUUUAAAUAAAUAUAUAAAUAUACAACAUUUUGAAGAUUACUUCAAAUUUUUUAUCAAUAUACUUUUUGAAUCAAUUCAAGGCAUUACAAAUAUAUCAAUUUGGGGUAAUCACCGAUACAAUAUCUCAAAGAAAAGCAUAACAAGUUUAUCAACGUAAACAAUGAUGUAAGCUUUAUUUUGCACAUGAAUAAAAUGCAAACGAG